RNAcentral lists this ribosomal RNA (458 nucleotides) under uncultured bacterium. RNAcentral's name for it is "partial 16S ribosomal RNA". It matches the Rfam family "Bacterial small subunit ribosomal RNA", at positions 338 to 795 of the family's 1533-position model. The record is from RNAcentral.
CCUACGGGAGGCUGCAGUGAGGAAUAUUGGUCAAUGGGCGAGAGCCUGAACCAGCCAAGUCGCGUGAGGGAGUACUGCCCUAUGGGUUGUAAACCUCUUUUGUCGGGGAGCAAAAGCCGGACCUGUCCGGCUGUGAGAGUACCCGCAGAAAAAGCAUCGGCUAACACCGCGCCACCAGCCGCGGUAAUACGGAGGAUGCGCGCGCUAUCCGGAUUUAUUGGGUUUAAAGGGGGUGCAGGCGGGUUUUGAAGUCAGCGGUCAAAUGGUGGGGCUCAACCCCCGCCAGCCGUUGAAACUGGGGGUCUAGAGUGGGCGAGAAGUAUGCGGAAUGCGUGGUGUAGCGGUGAAAUGCAUAGAUAUCACGCAGAACCCCGAUUGCGAAGGCAGCAUACCGGUGCACGACUGACGCUGAGGCACGAAAGCGUGGGUAUCGAACAGGAUUAGAUACCCGUGUAGUC